UACGUAGGGGGCGAGCGUUGUUCGGAUUUACUGGGCGUAAAGAGCGCGUAGGUGGUUCGUUUAGUCGGAGGUGAAAGCCCUCGGCUCAACCGAGGUCCCGCGUCCGAGACUGGCGAACUUGAGGGCAGGAGAGGAGAGCGGAAUUCCCGGUGUAGCGGUGAAAUGCGUAGAUACCGGGAGGAACACCGGUGGCGAAGGCGGCUCUCUGGACUGCUCCUGACACUGAGGCGCGAAAGCUAGGGGAG
Molecule: ribosomal RNA, 245 nt
Filed under: uncultured bacterium
Lineage: Bacteria
Description: partial 16S ribosomal RNA
Rfam family: Bacterial small subunit ribosomal RNA
Source: RNAcentral